RNAcentral lists this ribosomal RNA (2905 nucleotides) under Escherichia coli. RNAcentral describes it as "23S ribosomal RNA". It matches the Rfam family "Bacterial large subunit ribosomal RNA". The record is from RNAcentral. Lineage: Bacteria; Pseudomonadati; Pseudomonadota; Gammaproteobacteria; Enterobacterales; Enterobacteriaceae.
GGUUAAGCGACUAAGCGUACACGGUGGAUGCCCUGGCAGUCAGAGGCGAUGAAGGACGUGCUAAUCUGCGAUAAGCGUCGGUAAGGUGAUAUGAACCGUUAUAACCGGCGAUUUCCGAAUGGGGAAACCCAGUGUGUUUCGACACACUAUCAUUAACUGAAUCCAUAGGUUAAUGAGGCGAACCGGGGGAACUGAAACAUCUAAGUACCCCGAGGAAAAGAAAUCAACCGAGAUUCCCCCAGUAGCGGCGAGCGAACGGGGAGCAGCCCAGAGUCUGAAUCAGUGUGUGUGUUAGUGGAAGCGUCUGGAAAGGCGCGCGAUACAGGGUGACAGCCCCGUACACAAAAAUGCACAUGCUGUGAGCUCGAUGAGUAGGGCGGGACACGUGGUAUCCUGUCUGAAUAUGGGGGGACCAUCCUCCAAGGCUAAAUACUCCUGACUGACCGAUAGUGAACCAGUACCGUGAGGGAAAGGCGAAAAGAACCCCGGCGAGGGGAGUGAAAAAGAACCUGAAACCGUGUACGUACAAGCAGUGGGAGCACGCUUAGGCGUGUGACUGCGUACCUUUUGUAUAAUGGGUCAGCGACUUAUAUUCUGUAGCAAGGUUAACCGAAUAGGGGAGCCGAAGGGAAACCGAGUCUUAACUGGGCGUUAAGUUGCAGGGUAUAGACCCGAAACCCGGUGAUCUAGCCAUGGGCAGGUUGAAGGUUGGGUAACACUAACUGGAGGACCGAACCGACUAAUGUUGAAAAAUUAGCGGAUGACUUGUGGCUGGGGGUGAAAGGCCAAUCAAACCGGGAGAUAGCUGGUUCUCCCCGAAAGCUAUUUAGGUAGCGCCUCGUGAAUUCAUCUCCGGGGGUAGAGCACUGUUUCGGCAAGGGGGUCAUCCCGACUUACCAACCCGAUGCAAACUGCGAAUACCGGAGAAUGUUAUCACGGGAGACACACGGCGGGUGCUAACGUCCGUCGUGAAGAGGGAAACAACCCAGACCGCCAGCUAAGGUCCCAAAGUCAUGGUUAAGUGGGAAACGAUGUGGGAAGGCCCAGACAGCCAGGAUGUUGGCUUAGAAGCAGCCAUCAUUUAAAGAAAGCGUAAUAGCUCACUGGUCGAGUCGGCCUGCGCGGAAGAUGUAACGGGGCUAAACCAUGCACCGAAGCUGCGGCAGCGACACUGUGUGUUGUUGGGUAGGGGAGCGUUCUGUAAGCCUGUGAAGGUGUACUGUGAGGUAUGCUGGAGGUAUCAGAAGUGCGAAUGCUGACAUAAGUAACGAUAAAGCGGGUGAAAAGCCCGCUCGCCGGAAGACCAAGGGUUCCUGUCCAACGUUAAUCGGGGCAGGGUGAGUCGACCCCUAAGGCGAGGCCGAAAGGCGUAGUCGAUGGGAAACAGGUUAAUAUUCCUGUACUUGGUGUUACUGCGAAGGGGGGACGGAGAAGGCUAUGUUGGCCGGGCGACGGUUGUCCCGGUUUAAGCGUGUAGGCUGGUUUUCCAGGCAAAUCCGGAAAAUCAAGGCUGAGGCGUGAUGACGAGGCACUACGGUGCUGAAGCAACAAAUGCCCUGCUUCCAGGAAAAGCCUCUAAGCAUCAGGUAACAUCAAAUCGUACCCCAAACCGACACAGGUGGUCAGGUAGAGAAUACCAAGGCGCUUGAGAGAACUCGGGUGAAGGAACUAGGCAAAAUGGUGCCGUAACUUCGGGAGAAGGCACGCUGAUAUGUAGGUGAAGUCCCUCGCGGAUGGAGCUGAAAUCAGUCGAAGAUACCAGCUGGCUGCAACUGUUUAUUAAAAACACAGCACUGUGCAAACACGAAAGUGGACGUAUACGGUGUGACGCCUGCCCGGUGCCGGAAGGUUAAUUGAUGGGGUUAGCCGCAAGGCGAAGCUCUUGAUCGAAGCCCCGGUAAACGGCGGCCGUAACUAUAACGGUCCUAAGGUAGCGAAAUUCCUUGUCGGGUAAGUUCCGACCUGCACGAAUGGCGUAAUGAUGGCCAGGCUGUCUCCACCCGAGACUCAGUGAAAUUGAACUCGCUGUGAAGAUGCAGUGUACCCGCGGCAAGACGGAAAGACCCCGUGAACCUUUACUAUAGCUUGACACUGAACAUUGAGCCUUGAUGUGUAGGAUAGGUGGGAGGCUUUGAAGUGUGGACGCCAGUCUGCAUGGAGCCGACCUUGAAAUACCACCCUUUAAUGUUUGAUGUUCUAACGUUGACCCGUAAUCCGGGUUGCGGACAGUGUCUGGUGGGUAGUUUGACUGGGGCGGUCUCCUCCUAAAGAGUAACGGAGGAGCACGAAGGUUGGCUAAUCCUGGUCGGACAUCAGGAGGUUAGUGCAAUGGCAUAAGCCAGCUUGACUGCGAGCGUGACGGCGCGAGCAGGUGCGAAAGCAGGUCAUAGUGAUCCGGUGGUUCUGAAUGGAAGGGCCAUCGCUCAACGGAUAAAAGGUACUCCGGGGAUAACAGGCUGAUACCGCCCAAGAGUUCAUAUCGACGGCGGUGUUUGGCACCUCGAUGUCGGCUCAUCACAUCCUGGGGCUGAAGUAGGUCCCAAGGGUAUGGCUGUUCGCCAUUUAAAGUGGUACGCGAGCUGGGUUUAGAACGUCGUGAGACAGUUCGGUCCCUAUCUGCCGUGGGCGCUGGAGAACUGAGGGGGGCUGCUCCUAGUACGAGAGGACCGGAGUGGACGCAUCACUGGUGUUCGGGUUGUCAUGCCAAUGGCACUGCCCGGUAGCUAAAUGCGGAAGAGAUAAGUGCUGAAAGCAUCUAAGCACGAAACUUGCCCCGAGAUGAGUUCUCCCUGACUCCUUGAGAGUCCUGAAGGAACGUUGAAGACGACGACGUUGAUAGGCCGGGUGUGUAAGCGCAGCGAUGCGUUGAGCUAACCGGUACUAAUGAACCGUGAGGCUUAACCUU